GGUAGCUCUUUACUCCUUUAGCCACUCAGCCCUGACCUCUAGCUGCCUAGCAGAUUGGAGGGGGAAGCCACAGAUGAAAAAUAUCAUUGUUCAAUCUCAAAAGAGAAUUAUCCAGCACAAAGGAUAAGGACUGCUGUUUCUGACAAGCACAAGAGGAGAUAUGAUGGGACGAGGCUGAAAUCUGAGACGUCAGUAACAAAACCAAAGUCUGAAUUUAUGACACCAGACUGCGUUCCAGGCCUUUCUCUCCUACGACGUUACCCUUGGGACUGUGACUCCAUCUUCCCUACCUUAGCGAAUGUCACCAGCAAAACCUGCCAAGUGUUUGCUCAAACCCUUCUACAGAGCAAAACACUGAAGGUUUGAAAGGAGGGAUUCUAAGCUCUUAAUUUUUAGCUUGGUGAAAAGAAAUCUCUUCUCUGAAGCUAAGCAGAAAAGCAAGGUAAUGCCACACAAAGAGUGGUCAGCAACCUUGAAAGAAACUUGCCGGGGCAAAUCACUGUGGUAGGAAUAUCUCUUCUCCUUGGGAAGUGACAGAAAACCAUACAGUUGUCAGACAGCAAGUCUCUAGCCUACAGCACAG
Molecule: long non-coding RNA, 583 nt
Filed under: Sus scrofa (pig)
Lineage: Eukaryota; Metazoa; Chordata; Mammalia; Artiodactyla; Suidae
Description: lncRNA (ENSSSCG00030017454.1)
Source: RNAcentral